CCUGACUCCACAACGUUCAAGAGAAUCACUCACACACACACACACACACACACACACACACACACACACACACACACACAAGCUAUUUACUACCUAAGCUAAACCAAAGAGAAUGCUGCAGGCCCAAAUAUUCAUAUUGUGCUGGAAUUCAUAAAUAACUAAAAAUCUUUGAUUCUCUUCUAUUUUCUCCAAAAGGGAAACAGUUUUAACACAUGGGAUUAGGUUCACAAAAGAUUUUCUUUAUUUCCUCCUGCUCAUGCUUAACUCACUGUUAGGUCACAGAAGGAAAAAAUCAAACUGGUAAUAAAAUCUCUCAUUUUAUCACCAAGAAGUUCAAAUUGGCAUACAGUUUGGAAAAAUGAAAGCAUGUUUUAAAAUCCUAUGAUUACAUGUUAAAUAAAUUAUAGUUUAGAAGGAGAUUCCUGUGGGUAUAUUUGCUAGUACAUAAGAGAAUGCUUUUGUGCAUAGAGAUUUAAUUACACAUAUGGAAUCAAAAUGUAGAAUUGAACAACCUUUCAGAAAAUGUUAAAACGAUGCUUUAGGCUAAAAGAAACUGAAAUUCUGCAUUUAUAUGACUGUAACCCUUCAAGAUUCUUGAACAUAAAUAGUUCAAAUAAAGUAUUUUAUAACUCAAUUAAAAUGACAAUAAUGGCUUUUUCAGGCCCCCGCAGCCGAUAUAACUUUAAACUAUUGCCAUGUAUAAAUGUGUAAAGUUACCCCACAAUGAAGGUCUAUUUUCUUAACAGUUUUUAAAAUGAGUGGGAGUAAAAAUUGCACCUAUCCUCUUUUGAAACCAACUAAAAUAAAUUAAAAAGCAUUACUAUUAAGAAACACUAUUGGAUGACCACAGAAAAACAUUUAGGAAAGUAAUGUUACUAUAUUAUCUUUUAUGACAUUAACCAAUAUUAGGCAGAACAUAUUGGUACAUGUAAACAUAUUUUCAUUAAAAAUCAACAUAAAUAAUACAUAUACUCACAUCUAAACCAAAGUAGUUUAUUUUAUGCAUGGCUAGGCAGAUUAUACUUAAUAAAAUUGAGCUUUUGGCAUAAUUUAGAAAGCAAACAUGAAUGUAAUCCCAUAGGAUUUUCUAUUUUAAUGCAUAGGAAAGAGGCCUUUAGGGAUUUAUUUCACCAUUCUUCCCAAAUGAAUUCAGAAUAGACCUUACAAUGCAGAUAUAGUGAAACAGACAUACCUGUUAUGCUUUACGAGUUGAGGCAACUUUAAGAUUUUUCAUAAUAAAAUUACUUUGUAGAACCUAUUUUUAGCAUUACAAGAUAUAUAUUUUAAAUUACAUUUGGACAAACUCAUUCACAGCAUUUGUUGCCAUUGGGCAGUAAGUCACAUUACUGAUACAAGAAAUAAAUUUUCACUUUGAAAAAAAUCUGUUUCUGAAAAUACAAAAUUAGUUUUUACUUCUGAAAGUGUUUUUAUUGUUUUGCUUUUGCCAUUUCAUUUGCAUUGACAGGAUAGUAAUUGACCAAAUUGUUUGUUCCUUUCUCAUAGGAUGGUUAAAGAACAAGUCAAUUGCUUUGUUAAUAUUCACAUUUUGGAUAGUUGUAGCUUUUAUUCAGUAUUUCUCAGCCGAUUUUUACCAAAAACCACUUAACACAAAUACUUUUAAAAUUAUUUCUUUCUUUGAUACAGAACUCAGUACUAGAAAUGUGUAAAGAUGUGCAGAAAAAAAACAGCAUUCUUUUUUCUGGAAGCAUCUUCUUGUAAAUUGAAAUUAUAAAACUGAACAUAUGGUAAAACCUCAUGCCACUCAAAAAGUAUUUUGCAUAAUAAAAAUCCUUCAUUUUUUGUUAAUACUUGACACCCAGUAACCAUCUCCUAAAUACUUGCUUUUAAAUUAACCACUUAAUAUUUUCUUAUUUAAGAACUAUUUUUUAUUAGGCAAAGAAGAAUAACUUUGGUUUUAGAUUUCAUUGCUAAUUUUAGUAAACAUAGGCAUCACUAAAAUGUACAAAGUCCUAAAAGACAGUUUAAAGAUUAUGAAAAUAAGUUGCUACAUGCUAAGAAAACAUCAAAUAUCUGCAAAUUCUAAAAGUAGUUAAUAGCAUUAUAACACUACCAGUAUUAGAUAGCAUUUAUUUAAAUUUAGAUAAAAUACAUACAUUUUGCAAGUUUUUAUAUGUAAAUCACAAGCUGGCUAGUUUUUGUUCUAUCUUUAAUGAUAAAAUAACCACUUUUGAUUUUUUCCUCAGACUAAUUGGUGGAUGGAAUGUCUCAAUUUAAUUUUAAAAAUGAAGGUAUUGAUAAUAUUGCAACAGAGACAUAUAUGCCCUUUUUCUCAUCAGAAUUCUGCAAUUAUCAAGCCUACAAUUUUAACACUACAAAAGUAACUUAAAGCAAGGACCCUUAUAGUGAUAAGUAAUAAAUCUAAUUACCAUAUCCUUUGAAUAGAUGUAAUAUAAAUUUCAUUGCUCACUUAAAAGUUCUAAAGUUAACAGCAUAAACUUGAAGUUGAGUAAUUAAGUAAUCCUUAUAUAGACACUUAUUAAAGUAUUUAUACAUAUUAUCUUAAAUCUACAUCUAUCAUUUUGCCAAUUAAAAUUAGGACUUUAAUUGCAAUUAAGUAAUUUAAUUGCCAAUUGAACAGCAAAAUUGCUAAGUGACUAAUUUUAAUGCCUAUUUUAAUUACCAAUCAUGACUGGGGAGGGAGCUAAUCAAGUUACAUCAAGCAGCACCAGAGUAAUGAUGUGAAAAAAAAAAAAAGGGUAGAACAAACAUUCAAGGCUACAUGCUUCAAAAAAAGAAACAUAAAUUAAAUAAAUGCAAACACAAUCCUAUAAAUGUAUAAAAUACUGUAUUUCAAUAUCUCAAUACAGAACAUGAAAGGAAACAAGAUUAAUUAAAGAAACCCCUGUCAAUCUUCAAAGUAAGGACAACCAAAGUCAAAUUUUAUAUGGUAUUUACAUGGCACCCAUGCUAACCCAGAUAAAAACAAAAGCUGUAUACAGUCGAGAAUAAAAGGCUGUUUCCUGCUUGGCUGGUUAAAUAUUUACAGACUGGCAGUUAAAAAAAAUUCUUAAAUGAAAUACCAUAAAACAGAGAAACAAGUUUCCAAAUGCAACAACGUGGAUUUUGCAUUUGAAAAGCCAACAGGGCAAGUGCAAUGGGGCACUAUACUCUUUCCUGGUUGUUCCUCUCAGCCACACUCACUUGAAUGAAGAGUUCUAUGAGAGGCCUAAUGCCUAUCCAUAGCUGUCCCAUGUUACCCUGAGAAAAACAGACACCUGGCCAAUCUUAAAUAUUUUAAAUUUAUUCGGGAGUAAAAAUAAGAAAGCGGCUAGGAUUACAUCACAGUUAAAAUUAUUUGGCAUGGGGAAUAUACCUAAUUCAAUAGUCAUUCUUCAUUCAGUUAGAAUAAACAUGCCCACUCAAGAUAAAGGCUGAAAACCAGCAGGCAACCAGAAACACUGGUGAAAUUUUUCUUGGACAACACAAACAUAUUUUCAAAAGUUUUCAUAUUCAGACUAAUUCUCAGAUUAGCAAUAUGGAGGGGCACUAUUGAAAGGAGGAGGUGAAGUUGAGAACUCAAAAAAUAGAAAGUGAUUCCCUGUAGAUAGUAACAAUUCUAGUACUUUCUGACUGUAGGGUUUCCCUUGGCAGCCAGCCACCUCAUUUAGAGUAACAAUGGACAUCCAUCAAAUCUUCAUUUAAAAUAAAAGUCAUGCUGCAAGAUACAUAUUUUAUUUUUGUUGCCAUAUAUAUAUACCAAAAAUAUACCUACUUAUGUCUACAAAAGGGCCCAAGAUUAUUAAUGAAAUAUAUGUAAGCCUAUAACUUGAGGAACAGCAAAUCGUGCGGCUUGGGAUUUUAUUUACUAAUGGACUUCAAUUGUGAAAUGAAGCACAGCAGGACUUUCGGCCUGGCUUUUGAAGAAGGAACACUUUAAUAAUCACUGGGCCUGACAAGACUGCAAUAUCUGUUCAUGACAAUAACAGCUUUAUAAAGCAAGUUCUGUGUGACUGAUUAAAGGACACACUCACCGCCUAUUCACAAGUCAUGGAGAUGGAGUCAUUAUUGACAAGCUCACCAUCACUACUGAUCACAUUUAAGACACAUCGAGUGCUGGUGCUACAAAGAGAAAUAAAACCUCAGCCAUUAAAAGAUUUAAAAAACAGCCCCAGAAGACAAGAUUGCCAUAACUUAUGUAUAUCUUAAUGUGUUCUGUAUAAGAUUUUCUCCUAUAUACACACACAAAGGAUCUUAUUUGAUAAUAAUUAUCAAAAUUAUCGAACUAAAGCACUAGGUAACAAAUCAGCCACUACAAAGGAAAAAAAAAAGGAGAAGCAUCGUCUUAUAAUUUCACAAUAAUUAUGAAAGGACAUGAUAUAUAGACAAACUUUCAAAAUGUUAACACUUUCCGAAACUUGACAUGACUGAAAGUAAAUACUUUUUCAGACUGUUCAUGUCUAUCUUAGGCAUUCUGCUAGUCAUUAGUUUACAUGAAUUAAUGUUUACAUAGUGCCAGAAGCAAAAAGUUUUAAAAGUAUGUCUCUACCUUUCAGAUAUCCCUUAGUAGGUAAAAGUAAACAUAAAGUUUAGAAAUUCUAGUAAGUUAUUUUACUUUUUGCCCUUAAAGUAUUGUCUUCCCGUGUGAUCUAUCUGUAUUAGUGAAUAGAAAAUAAAGGAUACAGUAAGACAACCACGUUUAUAAUCUGAAAUUAAAGGCAAUCAAUUAAAACAUUUUAUUAGUCACCAGGAUAUUUAAAAAUGAGACCUGUGAAAUAUUGCAGAAUCACUCCACUAGGAGAGAAGCAGCAACUUAAGUAUGCUGUCACUGACAUGUUGGGAGGAAAAAGCAAACUACCAGUACCACCAUGUACAUGAUUCAAAUUAAGCUACAUAAAUAGUGAGUGCAUGGGGUUGUGGGUACAGAAACUGGUUCGCUGAGGAGGUGCUACUUACAUUUCCUGUAUUUCAUAUUUCUGAGAACUGUCUUCUGUAAUUUCCAAAGUGUAGGAAUGGUUGAAGUUUGAAAAUAAAUGGAGAAUUUCAAAUAGUUAAUGAAUAGAUUUAGGAGCUAUACUGAAACAACUAGCAGAAAAUACAUUUUCUGGAGUUCUUUAAUUUUGUACGCUUAAAAGUAUGGUGUUCCUAAAGAUGGCUAAUUCUUGUUGAAGUAAGUAGCUCUGGAAGUCAUAUUUUCCAUUUCUCCAUACUUCAUCUAUUAAUCAGUUGACUGGCAAUUUCCGACACCAGUUUUGCUAAACUUUAUAAAUUUUGCUUCCUCCAGAGGUAGGAGGGGGAAGGAGAUGGGCAAUACAGAAACAGAUUUUACAGCCAGAAUAUGACAGGGCCCCUUAAACUACAAAUAGAUGUAGAAUUUUAAAUGUAGCUCUGUAGUUCAAUUUAUACCACAGAAAUUGCGAGAUGCUAUCUUCCUGUUGUUAUAACGUAUCAGGUCAAGGGAUAUAAAUUGUACCAGGUAAUUCAUUUUGCUGUUCAGAGAGUCAUUAAGUUCCUCCCAGAAUAUAUGUGAUUGAUAUCCCUGGAGGUGAAAGGCUAAAGGAACCAUAUGGCAACAUGUUGCAUUCCGUAUGCUAUCUGCCCAUCCGUGCUUAAGCUGUCAUUAGCAACAUCUGUACCUUACGGAAAUCCAGCUGCGCCGACGACGGCUGACGGAAUUGUACUUGGGGGGAAAAUCUAGCUUAGCGCCAUUAACUUGAGACUUAGAGUCUAUCUACCAGGACGGAUGGAAGCUUUCACAAUUAGACGAGACGACACGAAUGCUUUAUUAAAGUUUAAUUUUGAACUCCCAAUUAGCGAAAGUGCAUUACAAAUCGAUUGCAAUUUCCUAGAAGGUGCAGCAAGUUCUCUGCCUGCCUGCCACGUGCGAGACGCUCCACAGCGAGCUUCCCCAGCUCCGGGCAGCAGAAAGGGGAUGGUUCAGAGCCGAUCUCCGCAUCCCAGGAAGUCCCUAAAAUCCGCGCCAGCCCCUCCUCCCGCAGGGCGGGGGCGUCCACGGCGCGAACCCGCCAGAGGUGUAGGGGGAAGUGUGGGGGGCUGGUCCGCAGCCUUCGAGGGGUGGGGCGACAGGAGCGAGCGGCCGGGGGAGGAGAAAAAGGCGGGCGGCGGGAGAGGGGGCCUCUAUUAUCUCGGCUUCUCGGGAGGAGCCUCAUCUAGUCAGUCACGCAGAAGUUUCUCUUUCGCUCUUCGCGCUACACACCCAGAUUGGCUUCCAGCGCGCAGGUAAAACCUGGCUGUGCCCUGUUGAAAUCAAUUCUGUUGCAGUCAUAUGCGGUGGAAUCUGUUCUUCUUUUGCAUCCUACGUAACCAGACCAAGCUGUGGGCUUCUCAAGGUAGCCUCCAGGAUGCACAGAGUGAGAGAGGAUGCUUUUCCCUAAACCAGGAACAAAAUUCCAGCCCUAAGGAGAUUGGACCACUCCCGACCAAUGAGUUUGGCCAGGGAGGUCAUGCACUGAUUGGCUCAGCCCUGGAUCAGUCUACUUCUCAACCAAUCAAGGUGCUAAGGAAACAGGAUUACCCUAAACGAUUUAACACACCGGGACUCAUUCCUGAAGCUGGAGAUGCUGUAACACAAUCAAAACUGUAAGGCUUAAAAGAAUUAAAGUAGGAAUUGCCGCAAUUCCCUUCCUAGACUUAUUCCCAAAUAUACUUACUAUGGACUACCUGCAUACAGCAGCCCCUUCACAUAUUUUUACUGCCUGUCAUAAAGUAGUCUGGGUUACAUUUAAAGAAGCUGCCAGCACUUAAUGCAUAGAAGUACUAAAAAUUUGUUACUGAUGUUUGAAAAAUAUAGAAAAUUAGAAGCGGAAUGGCUGAGUGUAGUGGCUUACACCUGCAGUCCCUACAUGUUAGGAGGCCAAGGCAGGAAGACUGCUUGAGGCCAGGAGUUUGAGACUUGGGCAGCAUAGCAAGGCUUUGUCUCUACGAAAAAUUGAAUAAAUGGAUAAAUAAUAAAAGAAAAGGAAAGAAUAAAGAAAAUUAGAAGGGGAAGAAGCCUCUUAUCCCACCAGAGAGUGUAAAUGAUUAUUAAAAUUUAAUGUAGCUCUCCCUCUCCCUCUCCCUCUCCCUCUCCCUCUCCCGCUCCGUCUCCCUCUCCGUCUCCCUCUCCCUCCACGGUCUCCCUCUGAUGCUGAGCCAAAGCUGGACGGUACUGCUGCCAUCUCGGCUCACUGCAACCUCCCUGCCUGAUUCUCCUGCCUCAGCCUGCCGAGUGCCUGCGAUUGCAGGCACGCGCCGCCACGCCUGACUGGUUUUCGUUUUUUUUUGGUGGAGACGGGGUUUCGCUGUGUUGGCCGGGCUGGUCUCCAGCUCCUAACCGCGAGUGAUCCGCCAGCCUCGGCCUCCCGAGGUGCCGGGAUUGCAGAUGGAGUCUCGUUCACUCAGUGCUCAAUGGUGCCCAGGCUGGAGUGCAGUGGUGUGAUCUCAGCUCAGUACAACCUACACCUCCCAGCCGCCUGCCUUGGCCUCCCAAAGAGCCGAGAUUGCAGCCUCUGCCCGGCCGCCACCCCGUCUGGAAAGUGAGGAGCGUCUCUGCCUGGCCGCCCAUCGUCUGGGAUAUGAGGAGCCCCUCUGCCUGGCUGCCCAGUCUGGAAAGUGAGGAGCGUCUCUGCCCGGCCGCCAUCCCAUCUAGGAAGCGAGGAGCGCCUCUUCCCCGCCACCAUCCCAUCUAGGAAGUGAGGAGCGUCUCUGCCCGGCCGCCCAUCGUCUGAGAUGUGGGGAGCACCUCUGCCCCACUGCCCUGUCUGGGAUGUGAGGAGCGCCUCUGCUGGGCCGCAACCCUGUCUGGGAGGUGAGGAGCGUCUCUGCCCGGCUGCUCCGUCUGAGAAGUGAGGAAACCCUCUGCCUGGCAACCGCCCCGUCUGAGAAGUGAGGAGCCCCUCCGUCCGGCAACCACCCCGGCUGGGAAGUGAGGAGCGUCUCCGCCCGGCAGCCACCCCGUCCGGGAGGGAGGU
This 7928-nucleotide long non-coding RNA is filed under the name Homo sapiens (human). RNAcentral describes it as "HSALNT0306716". The record is from RNAcentral. Lineage: Eukaryota; Metazoa; Chordata; Mammalia; Primates; Hominidae.